Molecule: ribosomal RNA, 372 nt
Filed under: uncultured eukaryote
Lineage: Eukaryota
Description: partial 18S ribosomal RNA
Rfam family: Eukaryotic small subunit ribosomal RNA
Source: RNAcentral
CAAUAGCGUAUAUUAAAGUUGUUGCAGUUAAAAAGCUCGUAGUUGAAUUUUUGCUUGCCGCCGAUGUCGGAACUUCCGUACGUUCGGCGGCGUGCAUCCUUGGGUGGAACCUGUGUGGCAUUAGGUUGUCGUGCAGGGGAUGCUCAUCGUUUACUGUGAAAAAAUUAGAGUGUUCAAAGCAGGCUUACGCCGUUGAAUAUAUUAGCAUGGAAUAAUAAGAUAGGACCUUGGUACUAUUUUGUUGGUUUGCGCACCGAGGUAAUGAUUAACAGGGACAGUUGGGGGUAUUCGUAUUCCAUUGUCAGAGGUGAAAUUCUUGGAUUUCUGGAAGACGAACUACUGCGAAAGCAUUUACCAAGGAUGUUUUCAUUA